CUCGUGCCAUUGCUAUGUGGUGCUGGAGAGCUGAUUAGAGGGCUGUCAAGUGCUUUCCACCACCAAAACCCAAGCCUUUGUCAUCAGACGACGCACUUUUCCCAAUUAGUUGCUGGGUUCUCUGCAGCCAGUCCCCAGAUCACAAGUCGGGCCUCCAGAAUGCCAAGAGUCUUUUAAGAAUCAUGCGAUGGGUUUAUUCUGUGCCUGCUACUUUUAGCCCUUCGCAUGUGUUCAGGCCAUCUCCUGAAGUUUUUUCUUUAAGACCGUAGGGACCACAGAUUUUUUUUUCUUAAAGCAAAAGUGCUGGAUAGAGCACCACGGGAGCUCGGGUUUCACAUAACAUCGGGGAAGAUUCACAGGAAAAUCACAGGAGCUGGCAACAGAGGGCUUUUCCUUCUGAAAGGGCUGGCACAGCUCGCCACGCAGACGUUCCAGAGAGCAGCUCCCUCGCUGGUGCCGCUCCAGCUCUGCCGAUGCCAGGGGAAGGAUGCGAAUUUACAGCCGCUGAGGAUCUGCCACCCCCAGGCUCGCUGCUGGUCGGUCCCCUCUGUGUUUUGGGGACCACAGAGAAGCACUAGGUGGUUUGAUACCUUGCAAAAGGCGGGUGCCAGCUAGCAAGCACAGCCAUCAGUCAUCUCCCCGGGGAGCUGCCCUCUGCAUAAUGGGGAGGAGGGAAAGCUGAACCCCUUCCUCCCUGCUCCUCUUCACUGGAGGGGUGGCCGGUGCACAGAGGAAAGCCCCAGGGCUUAUUAUGUUCAGUGCAACUGUCUAAAUAAGGAGGGAAAGAUUUCAGCCUGGAAAACUUGUGCCUUUCCACCGGCUUUUGCAUCCAGACAAGCACAGCUUGUGCCUGCUCUCCUGCGUCAGGCUUUCGGGGCACCCGGAAAAGAAAGCUGGCUUUGGAGACAAAGAUCCCGCCUUGCUUUUAGGAGGGGACCUCGAGAGUCCGGACACAGUAGGUUCUCUAUAUUUUGGGGACAGGAUGGCUGCUGUGCUGCAGAGACUGCCUUCUGUGCCUCCCCUGCUGAAAUAUCACAUCACAGUGCUUCCUGGGGUCAGCCCAACAGCAUCCAUCCAGCCGGCGCACAGAAAGUGCAGCUUUUGGAGAGGGGAAUAUAAUUUUAAAGUUGGCCUGAGAAGCCUCCAUCUAGUUUUCAGGGUUCCAGAAUGUUGUUUUAUUAGGAUUACAGUCUUGUUCUUCUUAGGUUUCAGCAGGCGUUUAUGACUGUUACAACAGGAAUGAAAAGCUGGGGCUGGAAUCGGCAUCGCUUUCUCCUGCCAGGCACAGGGUUCACGGUGGAGGCCAGACAUAUGUCUUUCUCCCACAGAUGCUACUUUUUUUUUUUUUUUUUUUUUUUUUUUCUGGAUGGGGAGGUGAGCUCUAUCCUCUCCCUGGAAGAGGGCUGGCAGCGGCUCUGAGCUGAGAUGUGGGGGUCCGUUGGCUGAAGGUAAUCGCCGUGUUGGUUCUCGUCGUUCCCCUCUGCCCUUUGCCAAGAGGAGAGGCCAGGUCCCAGCAGGUCAAAACUCCUCCUGGAGGGCACCCGAAUCAGAGUGGGGUUCCCUGCUGCUGCAGAGCCCAUGCCUCUACCUCUGAGGGGCACUGGCAGGAAGAAGCAGUUCAGCCUGCCCAAACUGUCCCGCUUGGGGUGAAGAACUCUGCCCUCUUCUUGGGGAAUUCCUGGCUCUGGGCUUGUUGGACCCUCUGCACGGUAAUAAUUAGCAGACAAAUCCUGCUGACUUGGGAAACUCAUCUGAGGGUUUGUUUGUGUGUUUGUUGUUUUUAUGAGAAGGUCCAUAUGCCUUUCAGAUUGUGUUAUUUUCAGAGAGCUGAUGAUCUGAGGAACAGAAUGAAGAGUUGACGUUGUUGGUUGUUUUCUUGGCCUGGUUUAAACAGCAGAUGGAGGUUGGUAGAAGGGCUACAGCUCGUUACUUUAUCCUGGUGGAAUUUGAUGAGUUUUAUUGCGAAGACAAUAGGGCAGAUCACGACAGCACUCAACCCAGGGAGAAAAGAGAAAGCUUUGUACCUGGCGGGCACCGACCGUCCGCCCGCGUGCCCUUCACGUGUUGGAUCCCAUCCAAGAGGUAAUGCGGGAAUUUCUGCGUGUAGUUAAAGUUUAUGAGACUGCCUGCCUAAACGCAUGCAUGUGUGUGAGUGCGUAGCAGAGCGAGGAUCCCUGGCAUGAUACUUAAUCAAAAUCCAGUUUUACCAGUGACAUAAGACAGAUAAAGCACCGAGUACAGACCUCAGGAUCUGCCCCUGCAGCUGAGACGCUGUAUCUGGCAUACGGGGUAACCGCCAAUACACACGGUGUGUGACGUACUCGGAAAUCCUGAAUUUGACCUGGAUUUUCCAAAUCAGAACCUUGUUUUAAAUCUGAAGAUGACAGUGCCUGGUAAUUCAUGUGUUUGCUGAUCUCUGGGGCAGUUCUAGUUCAACGCUGGUUUCUUUCCAGGGCAUGAAAAUCCUAUCUAACGUGCAGUGCCUUUGGAAUCUGAUUGUUACUCCGAGAAGUGUGCUCACUCAAAGUGUUUAAGAAAUGGGCAAUAGAGUUUGAGCCAUAACUUUAUCAGCAGAGCACAGAUACUCAUCUCUAAGUGCUUGCUGGAUCGUGUUCCUUCUUUCAACGCUCUCCUUUCCUGCCGAGUAACCUGUAUCUAGUGCUGUUUUUAUCAGGUUUUUGAGAUUAUUUCUCUUGCCCUAGUGCUGGCUGAGCUGCCUGUAGAUGAGAGCAGGCACCUUAUUUUAUAACUCUGUUCCUAACCUGAUCAGGCUGCAUCUUGAGAUGCCCGGUGCUAUUCCCGGGGUG
Molecule: long non-coding RNA, 2807 nt
Organism: Oxyura jamaicensis (ruddy duck)
Lineage: Eukaryota; Metazoa; Chordata; Aves; Anseriformes; Anatidae
Exons: 3
Source: RefSeq, a predicted model, not a curated record